UAAGCGGAGGAAAAGAAACUAACAAGGAUUCCCCUAGUAACUGCGAGUGAAGCGGGAAAAGCUCAAAUUUAAAAUCUGGCAGCCUUUGGCUGUCCGAGUUGUAAACUAGAGAAGUGUUAUCCGCGCUGGACCGUGUAAAAGUCUCCUGGAAUGGAGCAUCAUAGAGGGUGAGAAUCCCGUCUUUGACAUGGACUACCAGUGCUUUGUGAUGCGCUCUCAAAGAGUCGAGUUGUUUGGGAAUGCAGCUCAAAAUGGGUGGUAAAUUCCAUCUAAAGCUAAAUAUUGGCGAGAGACCGAUAGCGAACAAGUACCGUGAGGGAAAGAUGAAAAGAACUUUGGAAAGAGAGUUAAACAGUACGUGAAAUUGCUGAAAGGGAAACGCUUGAAGUCAGUCGCGUUGGCCAGGAAUCAACCUUGCUUUUGCUGGGCGUACUUUCUGGUUGACGGGUCAGCAUCAAUUUUGACUGUUGGAAAAAGUUCAAGGGAAUGUGGCAUCUUCGGAUGUGUUAUAGCCCUCGUUCGCAUACAGCAGUUGGGAUUGAGGAACUCAGCACGCCGCAAGGCCGGGUUUCGACCACGUUCGUGCUUAGGAUGCUGGCAUAAUGGCUUUAAUCGACCCGUCUUGAAACACGGACCAAGGAGUCUAACAUGCCUGCGAGUGUUUGGGUGGAAAACCCAAGCGCGCAAUGAAAGUGAAAGUUGAGAUCCCUGUCGUGGGGAGCAUUGACGCCCGGACCAGACCUUUUGUGACGGAUCCGCGGUAGAGCAUGCAUGUUGGGACCCGAAAGAUGGUGAACUAUGCCUGAAUAGGGUGAAGCCAGAGGAAACUCUGGUGGAGGCUCGUAGCGAUUCUGACGUGCAAAUCGAUCGUCAAAUUUGGGUAUAGGGGCGAAAGACUAAUC
This 902-nucleotide ribosomal RNA is filed under the name Bolbitius reticulatus. RNAcentral describes it as "eukaryotic LSU rRNA". It matches the Rfam family "Eukaryotic large subunit ribosomal RNA", at positions 47 to 936 of the family's 3401-position model. The record is from RNAcentral. Lineage: Eukaryota; Fungi; Basidiomycota; Agaricomycetes; Agaricales; Bolbitiaceae.